AAAGAGAGUUUGAUCCUGGCUCAGGAUGAACGCUAGUAGUAUGCUUUACACAUGCAAGUCGAACGGAAACAGAAUCUAACCGGUCAAAACAGGGUAAGGCCGUAAUACUGCUAAAAAAGUAUAAAUUUGGUUUUCGUGGCGAACGGGUGAGUAUUCGCAAAAUUUUUCCUUUCAAUUCAGAACAAAAAUUUGUGAAUUUAAAUACUGUAUGAAAGCUUUUCGCUUUUAAAGGUUAAUUCCGUUGAAAGAUAGAUUUGCAGAAGAUUAGGUUGUUGGUAAAUUAAAAGCUUACCAAGCCGACGAUCUUUAGUUGGUCUUAGAGGAUGAUCAACCACACUGGAACUGAAAUAAGGUCCAGGCUGACACGUCGGCCAGCAGUGAGGGAUAUUGGACAAUGAACGAAAGUUUGAUCCAGCAAUACUAACUGGGUGAUGGACGGCUUAUUUAAGUUGUAAGAUCCUAUGAUUAAAAAAGAUAAAUGACAUUAUUUAAUUGAAUUUUAGUCCUGGCUAAUACUCGUGCCAGCAGCCGCGGUAAUACGGGAAGGGCAAGCGUUAUCCGGCAUGACUGGGCGUAAAGAGUCCGUAGACUGCGAAGCAAGUUUUUUGUUAAAUUUUAAGACCUAAUCUUAAAUUUACAAUUAAUACUGUUUUGCUUUGAGUUUAAUGCAGAAAAGUGGAAUUUUAUACGAUAGGGGUAAAAUCCGUAGAUAUAUAAAGGAACGUCAAUAGCGAAGGCAACUUUUUGGCAUAAACUGACGUUGAGGGACGAAAGCGUGGGUAGCAAACAGGAUUAGAGACCCUGGUAGUCCACGCCGUAAAUUCUGAGUGCUGUAAUUUAAUUGUAAUAUUUUUUUAUUAUUUUAGAUUUUCAAGCUAACGCAAUAAGCACUCCGCCUGAGGAGUACGAUCGCAAGAUUGGAACUCAAAGGAAUUGACGGGGGUCUAACACUAGUGGUGGAGCAUGUGGUUUAAUGCGAUAAUCCGCGCAAAAUCUUACCAAUUCUUGACAUAUUAAAAUAAUUGUACAAAUUAAUAUUUUUGCAAUAAUAUUUUUUUACAGGUGUUGCACGACUGUCGUCAGCUCGUGUCGUGAGACGUCUGGUUAAGUCCUGAAACGGGCGCAACUCUUUCUUUUUACGAAGUUUUUACAGAUUAAAAGUUUAAUAUGAGAAUCUUUUAAACGCUUUAAAAGUACGGUCAACGAUAAGUUGAAGGAAGGUAAGAACGAAGUCAAGUCAAUGUGACCCUAAUGAAUUGGGCUACACAUGUGCUACAAUGAAAAUAUUACAAAAAGUGACAAAAAAGAAAUUUUGAGUUAACCAACAAAAAUUUUCCCAGUUCAGAUUGUAAACUGCAACUCGUUUACAUGAAGUUGGAAUCACUAGUAAUCGCAAAUCAGCACGUUGCGGUGAACAUGUAACUUGGCCUUGUACACACCGCCCGUCACAUGCGAAGAAUCAGUUUCGUUUUGAAGAUUUUAAUAAAAUCCAUUGAGAGAUUGAUAAUUUGGAUGAAGUCGUAACAAGGUAGCUGUACGGGAACGUGUAGCUGGA
RNAcentral lists this ribosomal RNA (1555 nucleotides) under Fragilariopsis kerguelensis. Its description in RNAcentral is "partial Bacterial small subunit ribosomal RNA". It matches the Rfam family "Bacterial small subunit ribosomal RNA". The record is from RNAcentral. Lineage: Eukaryota; Bacillariophyta; Bacillariophyceae; Bacillariales; Bacillariaceae.